GACAUAGGUGGCAAAUGUUAUCCGGAAUUAUUGGGCGUAAAGGGUGCGUAGGUGGUUUAAUAAGUUACUGGUGGGAAAUCGGGGCCCAACCCCGUGGAAGUUAGUAAUACUAUUAGACUAGAGGAUCGGAGAGGUUAACGGAAUUCUAUGUGUAGCGGUAAAAUGCGUAAAUAUAUAGAGGAACACCAAAAGGCGAAGGCAGUUAACUAUUCGAUUCCUGACAUUGAGGCACGAAAGCGUGGGGAGCAAAACGG
Molecule: ribosomal RNA, 254 nt
Filed under: uncultured bacterium
Lineage: Bacteria
Description: partial 16S ribosomal RNA
Rfam family: Bacterial small subunit ribosomal RNA
Source: RNAcentral